This 468-nucleotide ribosomal RNA is filed under the name uncultured bacterium. RNAcentral's name for it is "partial 16S ribosomal RNA". It matches the Rfam family "Bacterial small subunit ribosomal RNA", at positions 28 to 507 of the family's 1533-position model. The record is from RNAcentral.
GACGAACGCUGGCGGCGUGCUUAACACAUGCAAGUCGAACGGAAAGGCCCUGCUUUUGUGGGGUGCUCGAGUGGCGAACGGGUGAGUAACACGUGAGUAACCUGCCCUUGACUUUGGGAUAACUUCAGGAAACUGGGGCUAAUACCGGAUAGGAGCUCCUGCUGCAUGGUGGGGGUUGGAAAGUUUCGGCGGUUGGGGAUGGACUCGCGGCUUAUCAGCUUGUUGGUGGGGUAGUGGCUUACCAAGGCUUUGACGGGUAGCCGGCCUGAGAGGGUGACCGGCCACAAUGGGCCUGAGAUACGGACCAGACUCCUACGGGAGGCAGCAGUGGGGAAUAUUGCACAAUGGGCGGAAGCCUGAUGCAGCAGCGCCGCGUGCGGGAUGACGGCCUUCGGGUUGUAAACCGCUUUCGCCUGUGACGAAGCGUGAGUGACGGUAAUGGGUAAAGAAGCACCGGCUAACUACGUG